This 253-nucleotide ribosomal RNA is filed under the name uncultured bacterium. Its description in RNAcentral is "partial 16S ribosomal RNA". It matches the Rfam family "Bacterial small subunit ribosomal RNA", at positions 524 to 776 of the family's 1533-position model. The record is from RNAcentral.
UACGUAGGGGGCAAGCGUUGUUCGGAAUUACUGGGCGUAAAGGACGCGUAGGCGGCCAUCUAAGUCAGACGUGAAAUCCCCGGGCUCAACCCAGGGACUGCGCUUGAUACGGCUGUGCUCGAGGAUGGAAGAGGGCCGCGGAAUUCCCAGUGUAGAGGUGAAAUUCGUAGAUAUUGGGAAGAACACCGGUGGCGAAGGCGGCGGCCUGGUCCAUUUCUGACGCUGAGGCGCGACAGCGUGGGGAGCAAACAGG